This is a long non-coding RNA of Mycetomoellerius zeteki, 450 nucleotides long. RefSeq lists it as uncharacterized. Lineage: Eukaryota; Metazoa; Arthropoda; Insecta; Hymenoptera; Formicidae. The transcript is spliced from 3 exons. The record is from RefSeq and is a predicted model, not a curated record.
AGGCGAAAGAGAGACAGCCAGUAAACCGAAGAGGCGCGUUGUGUAGCUUGAUUGCAGGGUGCCGCACGGUGUUUGCUUUAUAAAUCGUGCCUUGAACCACAAGAGAAUAAGAAGAGAGUACGGAUGCUGUGCUCGAAACGAAGUAUCUUUGUGCGAAGGCUGGCGAGGCCAGUACGGUGGAGAGUAUCCGAUUGAAUAUUGUGCUACGUAAGAGACUCCAGAUAAAGGAUAUUUUAUUAUUACAAAUCACUGGGUUGCUCACCAAGAUGAUGCGCCAGAGAGUCGAAACGAAACCGCGAUCCCGUUGAUGCUAAGGAUGAAAUUAUUGACGAUAGAAGAUCAGUCUCUCAUGAAAACAAGCUUCUGUGAUGUUGGUUGUAGUAUGUGAUUCUUGAGUAUUCAAUCAGUAAGAGAACGGUGACGACUGCAAUUUGUACAGAAAAUGAGGAC